Patella vulgata (common limpet) is the source of this 3446-nucleotide long non-coding RNA. RefSeq lists it as uncharacterized. The transcript is spliced from 4 exons. NCBI's taxonomy places the organism in Eukaryota, Metazoa, Mollusca, Gastropoda, Patellidae. The record is from RefSeq and is a predicted model, not a curated record.
AGAAUGCUUUAAUAUCAUUAUCUAAAGAAUACUAUAAUACCAUUCUCUAAGAAAUGAUAUAAUACCAUUCACUAAAGAAUGCUACAAUACUAUUCUCUAAGAAAUACUAUAAUACCAAUGACCAAGGAAUGCUACAAUACCAUUCUCUCGGGAAUACUAUCAUACCAAUCACCAAGGAACGCUUUAAUACCAUUCUAAAGAAUGCCCCAAGACCAUCCUAAAGAAUGCCUCAAUACCAUUCUACAGAAUGCUUUAAUACCAUUUCAAAAUUCGUGCAGCAGUGACGGGUUCUCUAAAUUGAACAUAUUCAUACUCGAUCACAUAGAUAUUUUGAGCUGACAGAAGUGAGGUACAAAUGGUUUACAAUUAGACGUAGUUCUUGCACAUGCACAUGUCCCCAAAUUUCAAUCAACUAUCUCAAAGUUUAAAUAAAACAUAAAAAUCUGGAAAGCAGCAGGAAUACAUUUGAUUCAAACAAGACCUUCAAAGGAAUAUAGUAGACUGAGUGCCGCAACGUUUGCCUGAAGAACUUUGUAGUCAAAGGUCAUUUUGUUAUUUGAGUAGAAAUUCCGAAUGUCCCUGUUACUGAGGUAUAGGGCUUUUUUGUGGCCGAACUGGUAGACAUCUACAUAAAAAUCUAGAAAGCAGCAGGAAUACAUUUGAUUCAAACAAGACCUUCAAAGAAAUACAGUAGACUGAGUGCCGCAACGUUUGUCUGAAGAACUUUGUAGUCAAAGGUCAUUUUGUUAUUUGAGUAGAAAUUCCGAAUUUCCCUGUUACUGAGGUAUAGGGCUUUUUUGCGGGCGAACUGGUAGACAUCUACAAACUGAGAAAAAAGAACCAGUAAUUUGCAUUAAGAGCUCUCUAUAUUAUACGGCAAUAUGUUGGUUUCAAAAAUAAUUAAUUGAAUCGUAAGAUUUCUCUGGAUUUGACCAUUCUGUAUCGUAGGAUGUGGUCAGCUGCCAUCUGUAUCAAAUGCCUUUCCAACAGUGAAUGAAAGUUCCAAUAGAUACCCCGUCGGUAAAAGAAUUGGCUAUUCGUGUAUAGAAGGAGCCUACAUGAUUGGUAAGGGGGAAUCUCGGUGUCUGUCAAAUGGUACAUGGUCAGACGUCAGCUGUGUAUUUGUAAAAACCUGCCACGAAGCCGAUAUUUUAUUACUAGACACAUCAGGCCCUAUUAAAAUAAAACCAAUUGGGAGUGAAGACGUUGUAACCGUUUCGUGUGAGAGAAAACAAAAUGAUGUUUACACAGUUAUAGGUCACGACCUUGCAAACAGAACACAUAUCAAUGGUCCGGAGGAUUCUUUCAGUUACGUUUUACCCAUUGAAUACACAAUACCACUAGAUCUAGCCAUUGGUGUAGUCAACGUCUCGUCAGAAUGUGAGCAGUUUAUCAAAUUUGAAUGUUUCGAGGUUGGCGCCCAGUAUAACUCCUUUAGAACCCGUACAGGAGAACAGGCAGAUUAUUUUGCUGGUGGAGUGAAGGGACGAGGCGAUAAUAAUUGCGCCUGUCACAUCAACAAUACGUGUAUAAACCAAGGCGUAUGUAACUGUAGAUUAAAUACACCAGAAUGGUAUGCAGACACAGGAUAUAACCGAUAUAAAGAAGAUCUACCAAUCACGGCGUUUCUAGCUGGAGACACAGGGCAUCGUGGAGAAGAGGCUUACAUAACUAUCGGAAGUUUAAAAUGUAAAGGAGAGUCAUAAUAUGAAGAGCUAGAAUAUAUCAAUUACACUGCUUAGUUGUGAUUAACCUGAUAAUUAACUCGAUAAUGGUGUGAUAGGGCAAUACACGUGUAUCUGUUUGAUAUGAUCGUCUGAAAGAAAUUGUAACGUUUACUUUAUUAACGGUAGAGUAGAGAUAAUAAUAACGAAAUAAAUAAGGAGGUAAACGGCAAGCCGUUUUUACCGUCCAUAGGGACAUGAAGGCCAACACGGGGCUUUUGUUAUAGAGCCAGUUAACAAGACCCUAACCCCCACUCUAGCCGCGUGGGGGGGGGAAUGGUUAUCACGUGCGCGCUGUAUCAUAAGGCCUGUCAUUGAGUCAACUGGUGUGGUUUCGAAUUCCCGGUUGUACGUGACAAGGCCUAGGGUCGCCUGUCCAACCUCGUGUUUUUCCUGGUCGUCUGGUUUUCUCCCACUGCUAAGGACCCCUACGCGCAAGCGAAUUAUUGAAAUAAAAAAAAAUAAACCAUAUGUUAGUCCCGAAAUGACCUAGUUUGUGUCAAGUGGACGUUAAACCCCUUUUCUCUCUCUCCCACAGUGAAACAUAGCUACACUACACAUACGGAAGCUUUAAAUCCAGGGACCGUCGAGAUAGCUCCACAAAACGAACAAAAAUAUUUCAAGAUAUUAUGGAUAACCGAUAAGAACAUUCUGGAAAGUGGGCCUAUAUGAUGGAGGCCAUAAAUUUACCGAACGUUUAUCGCCGUUUUAUUUCGUUAUUAUUACCCCCUCAUCAUAACGUUUAUCUAUUUCGUUAUUAUUACCAUAUGAAAUUAUUUCGAUAUAUCAAUUACAGUCAUAAACUUGGACUGUUACUUGCACUGCAUUGUAUCUAUAAAUAGAAUUCAGUUAUAUUAGUAUUUAUUUGUUUGUAAUACCACUAAACAAUUCACCAAAAUAAGAUUUUUACAAGCGAUAACACCAUGAUACUUACUUUCAAACUAAUUAACCUUCAUUAUUAAUAAUAUGCAGCUAUCAUGGUACUCUUCAUUUAUCAAAUGUAUUCUCAAACAAUACAACAAAUACUAUUAAAUAAAAUGAAAUGGGGUUUAACGUCUUACUUGUGCACACCAGUCUGUCACUCGGCAAACCUCAACAGAUUCCAGUACCCUACAUCUAAUCUCGGCUGUAUGACAAAGUCCGCCAUUAGAACUACUUUCAAGUUCCCGGAUUACAAUGGCGUUGUCCAUGACGACCAAUGACGUCAUUGAUGACGACGUAUUUGAAAAAUGUUUUAUCUUACAAAAUUUUCAAAGUUUGAAGCUGUUUUUCUUUCAAGUUUAUCUGAUUUUCUUUAGACAAGGACAAAUUUGCACUGAAAAUUCUACACACUCUUCGAACGACGCAAUUUUGAGAACUUCUUUCUAAACGCGGGCAAGUUUCCCUUAUAAGUAAACCGGUGCCGCAUCGCAAAUGUAUAGGCGUAGGUACAUAUCACUUACUGUCAUACAGCCGAGGCUAGAUGUAGGGUACCGGAAUCUGCCGAGGUUUGCCGAGUGACCAGUCUGUAUAAUGAAGAUGGCUUUAUACCGUGCAGUGUCCGAAGAGGACAAUGUUGCCCGCUUCGUUAAACAGCGAUCUUUGUCGCAUUUAAUACAGAAAACGCUGGAAAAUCGUAUUGUUCUAAAUCUAAAUUUAUAUAUCUAUAAAACAUCACAACAAUAUAAUUUCGCUUUACAGUGUAACAUUUAUCUUAUAAGCACAUAAAGCACUUAAGCAUUC